UCGCGGGGUGGAGCAGUCUGGUAGCUCGUCGGGCUCAUAACCCGAAGGUCGCAGGUUCAAAUCCUGUCCCCGCAAUC
Molecule: transfer RNA, 77 nt
Filed under: Niallia circulans
Lineage: Bacteria; Bacillati; Bacillota; Bacilli; Caryophanales; Bacillaceae
Also listed under: 8 other names
Description: Bacillus circulans tRNA-Met(cat)
Rfam family: tRNA
About the family: Transfer RNA (tRNA) molecules are approximately 80 nucleotides in length. Their secondary structure includes four short double-helical elements and three loops (D, anti-codon, and T loops).
Source: RNAcentral